CUACGGGGUGCUGCAGUGAGGAAUAUUGGUCAAUGGGCGAGAGCCUGAACCAGCCAAUCCGCGUGCAGGAUGACGGCCCUAUGGGUUGUAAACUGCUUUUGUAUGGGAAGAACUCCCUGACGUGUCAGGGGCUGACGGUACCAUACGAAUAAGCAUCGGCUAACUCCGUGCCAGCAGCCGCGGUAAUACGGAGGAUGCGAGCGUUAUCCGGAUUUAUUAGGUUUAAAGGGUGCGUAGGCUGAAUAGUCAGUCAGUGGUGAAAUCCUACGGCUUAACCGUAGAACUGCCAUUGAUACUGCUAUUCUUGAGUACAGUUGAGGUAGGCGGAAUGUGUAGUGUAGCGGUGAAAUGCUUAGAUAUUACACAGAACACCGAUUGCGAAGGCAGCUUACUAAACUGUCACUGACGCUGAGGCACGAAAGCGUGGGGAGCGAACAGGAUUAGAUACCCGCGUAGUC
RNAcentral lists this ribosomal RNA (458 nucleotides) under uncultured bacterium. RNAcentral describes it as "partial 16S ribosomal RNA". It matches the Rfam family "Bacterial small subunit ribosomal RNA", at positions 339 to 795 of the family's 1533-position model. The record is from RNAcentral.